RNAcentral lists this ribosomal RNA (404 nucleotides) under uncultured bacterium. RNAcentral describes it as "bacterial SSU rRNA". It matches the Rfam family "Bacterial small subunit ribosomal RNA", at positions 355 to 776 of the family's 1533-position model. The record is from RNAcentral.
UGGGGAAUAUUGGACAAUGGGGGAAACCCUGAUCCAGCGACGCCGCGUGAGUGAAGAAGUAUUUCGGUAUGUAAAGCUCUAUCAGUAGGGAAGAAAAUGACGGUACCUAACUAAGAAGCCCCGGCUAACUACGUGCCAGCAGCCGCGGUAAUACGUAGGGGGCAAGCGUUAUCCGGAUUUACUGGGUGUAAAGGGAGCGUAGACGGUAUGGUAAGUCAGAUGUGAAAGGCGGGGGCUCAACCCCCGGACUGCAUUUGAAACUAUCAAACUAGAGUGUCGGAGAGGUAAGUGGAAUUCCUAGUGUAGCGGUGAAAUGCGUAGAUAUUAGGAGGAACACCAGUGGCGAAGGCGGCUUACUGGACGAUCACUGACGUUGAGGCUCGAAAGCGUGGGGAGCAAACAGG